AGAGUUUGAUCCUGGCUCAGGAUGAACGUUGGCGGCGUGCCUAAUACAUGCAAGUCGAACGGUAGUUGANCAUUCGUGCUUGAUGAGAGUGGCGAACGGGUGAGUAACACGUAACUGAUCUGCCCUUUAGACUGGGAUAACCUUUGGAAACAGAGGCUAAUACCGGAUGAGUUCGCGGUAGUUAGAGAGCCGUGAGGAAAGGCUAAUGCGCUAAGGGAUGAGGUUGCGGGCCAUCAGCUAGUUGGUGAGGUAAAGGCUCACCAAGGCGAUGACGGUUAGGGGAUCUGAGAGGGUGGCCCCCCACACUGGGACUGAGACACGGCCCAGACUCCUACGGGAGGCAGCAGUAAGGGAUAUUGCACAAUGGACGGAAGUCUGAUGCAGCGACGCCGCGUGGGUGAAGAAGGUUUUCGGAUCGUAAAGCCCUUUUCUAUGUGACGAGAGAGGACGGUAGCAUAGGAAUAAGUGUCGGCUAACUACGUGCCAGCAGCCGCGGUAAAACGUAGGACGCGAACGUUAUCCGGAGUUACUGGGCGUAAAGCGCGCGUAGGCGGUUGGUUAAGUUACCUAUGAAAGAUACNGGCUAAACUUGUAUUGGUUAGGUGAAACUGGCUAA
This 616-nucleotide ribosomal RNA is filed under the name uncultured Chloroflexota bacterium. RNAcentral describes it as "bacterial SSU rRNA". It matches the Rfam family "Bacterial small subunit ribosomal RNA", at positions 8 to 640 of the family's 1533-position model. Lineage: Bacteria; Bacillati; Chloroflexota. The record is from RNAcentral.